This is a small nuclear RNA of Dermacentor silvarum, 184 nucleotides long. RefSeq annotates it as U2 spliceosomal RNA. The record is from RefSeq and is a predicted model, not a curated record. Lineage: Eukaryota; Metazoa; Arthropoda; Arachnida; Ixodida; Ixodidae. The transcript has a single exon.
ACAUUUCCGACGCAGGCCAAAGUGUAGUAUCUGUUCUAUCAGCUUACAUUCUGAUGCGAGUUAUAUUUGAACUCAAGAUAUUAAACUUGUUUUUGCAAGUUGGCGGAGUGCCUGAAGCCUGCUUCAACUCUGCCGCGGGUCGGCCCGGUGUCCCACUAUUUUCAAGAUUUUUGGGCUACGGACA